GUGCCAGCCGCCGCGGUAAUACAGAGGGUGCGAGCGUUAAUCGGAUUUACUGGGCGUAAAGCGUGCGUAGGCGGCUUUUUAAGUCGGAUGUGAAAUCCCCGAGCUUAACUUGGGAAUNGCAUUCGAUACUGGGAAGCUAGAGUAUGGGAGAGGAUGGUGGAAUUCCAGGUGUAGCGGUGAAAUGCGUAGAGAUCUGGAGGAAUACCGAUGGCGAAGGCAGCCAUCUGGCCUAAUACUGACGCUGAGGUACGAAAGCAUGGGGAGCAAACAGGAUUAGAUACCCUGGUAGUCCAUGCCGUAAACGAUGUCUACUAGCCGUUGGGGCCUUUGAGGCUUUAGUGGCGCAGCUAACGCGAUAAGUAGACCGCCUGGGGAGUACGGUCGCAAGACUAAAACUCAAAUGAAUUGACGGGGGCCCGCACAAGCGGUGGAGCAUGUGGUUUAAUUCGAUGCAACGCGAAGAACCUUACCUGGCCUUGACAUACUAGAAACUUUCCAGAGAUGGAUUGGUGCCUUCGGGAAUCUAGAUACAGGUGCUGCAUGGCUGUCGUCCGCUCGUGUCGUGAGAUGUUGGGUUAAGUCCCGCAACGAGCGCAACCCUUUUCCUUACUUGCCAGCAUUUCGGAUGGGAACUUUAAGGAUACUGCCAGUGACAAACUGGAGGAAGGCGGGGACGACGUCAAGUCAUCAUGGCCCUUACGGCCAGGGCUACACACGUGCUACAAUGGUCGGUACAAAGGGUUGCUACACAGCGAUGUGAUGCUAAUCUCAAAAAGCCGAUCGUAGUCCGGAUUGGAGUCUGCAACUCGACUCCAUGAAGUCGGAAUCGCUAGUAAUCGCGGAUCAGAAUGCCGCGGUGAAUACGUUCCCGGGCCUUGCACACACCGCCCGUC
This 893-nucleotide ribosomal RNA is filed under the name uncultured bacterium. Its description in RNAcentral is "bacterial SSU rRNA". It matches the Rfam family "Bacterial small subunit ribosomal RNA", at positions 505 to 1398 of the family's 1533-position model. The record is from RNAcentral.